AUUUGAUAGUACCUUACUACAUGGAUAACCGUGGUAAUUCUAGAGCUAAUACAUGCUAAAAACCUCGACUUCGGAAGGGGUGUAUUUAUUAGAUAAAAAACCAAUGCCCUUCGGGGCUCCUUGGUGAAUCAUAAUAACUUAACGAAUCGCAUGGCCUUGCGCCGGCGAUGGUUCAUUCAAAUUUCUGCCCUAUCAACUUUCGAUUGUAGGAUAGUGGCCUACAAUGGUUUCAACGGGUAACGGGGAAUUAGGGUUCGACUCCGGAGAGGGAGCCUGAGAAACGGCUACCACAUCCAAGGAAGGCAGCAGGCGCGCAAAUUACCCAAUCCCGACACGGGGAGGUAGUGACAAUAAAUACUGAUACAGGGCUCUUUUGGGUCUUGUAAUUGGAAUGAGUACAAUUUAAAUCCCUUAACGAGGAACAAUUGGAGGGCAAGUCUGGUGCCAGCAGCCGCGGUAAUUCCAGCUCCAAUAGCGUAUAUUAAAGUUGUUGCAGUUAAAAAGCUCGUAGUUGAACCUUGGGCCUGGCUGGCCGGUCCGCCUCACCGCGUGUACUGGUCCGGCCGGGCCUUUCCUUCUGGGGAACCUCAUGCCCUUCACUGGGUGUGUUGGGGAACCAGGACUUUUACUUUGAAAAAAUUAGAGUGUUCAAAGCAGGCGUUUGCUCAUUGAAUACUUCAGCAUGGAAUAAUAAGAUACGACCUUGGUGGUCCUAUUUUGUUGGUUUGCACACCAGGGUAAUGAUUAAUAGGGACAGUUGGGGGUAUUCAUAUUUCAACGUCAGAGGUGAAAUUCUUGGAUUUAUUGAAGACUAACUACUGCGAAAGCAUUUGCCAAGGAUGUUUUCAUUAAUCAGUGAACGAAAGUUAGGGGAUCGAAGACGAUCAGAUACCGUCGUAGUCUUAACCAUAAACUAUGCCGACUAGGGAUCGGGCGAUGUUCUUUUUCUGACUCGCUCGGCACCUUACGAGAAAUCAAAGUUUUUGGGUUCUGGGGGGAUUAUGGUCGCAAGGCUGAAACUUAAAGAAAUUGACGGAAGGUCACCACCAGGCGUGGAGCCUGCGG
This 1065-nucleotide ribosomal RNA is filed under the name Xenocatantops brachycerus. RNAcentral describes it as "SSU rRNA". It matches the Rfam family "Eukaryotic small subunit ribosomal RNA", at positions 119 to 1188 of the family's 1831-position model. The record is from RNAcentral. Lineage: Eukaryota; Metazoa; Arthropoda; Insecta; Orthoptera; Acrididae.